RNAcentral lists this ribosomal RNA (251 nucleotides) under uncultured bacterium. RNAcentral describes it as "partial small subunit ribosomal RNA". It matches the Rfam family "Bacterial small subunit ribosomal RNA", at positions 26 to 285 of the family's 1533-position model. The record is from RNAcentral.
AGGACGAACGCUGGCGGCGUGCUUAACACAUGCAAGUCGAGCGGAAAGGCCCUUCGGGGUACUCGAGCGGCGAACGGGUGAGUAACACGUGAGUAAUCUGCCCCUAGCUCUGGGAUAGCUCCGGGAAACCGGGAUUAAUACCGGAUACGACUGCUACGGACAUCUGUGGUGGUGGAAAGAACUUCGGCUAGGGAUGAGCUCGCGGCCUAUCAGCUUGUGGUGGGUAACGCCUACCAAGGCGACGACGGGUA